AGCUUUUUGCCACCGGGUAAAAAGAUUAAGCGUCAGACUUUCUAUCAUUAGGUCUUUGAAGAUAGAGAGUUUGAUGUUUUUUUGUA
Molecule: non-coding RNA, 86 nt
Filed under: unclassified sequences
Source: RNAcentral